RNAcentral lists this small nuclear RNA (176 nucleotides) under Sus scrofa (pig). RNAcentral describes it as "U2 spliceosomal RNA (multiple genes)". Lineage: Eukaryota; Metazoa; Chordata; Mammalia; Artiodactyla; Suidae. The record is from Rfam by way of RNAcentral. RNAcentral also lists the same sequence under 1 other name.
AUCACUUCUCGGCCUUUUGGCUAAGAUCAAGUGUAGUGAAGCUAAUCAGCUGUGUUCUCUGAAGCACAUAUGUAAGACUGGGAGGCUAUUCUCAGUUUAAUUUACAUAAGCACAUGAGUCAAAUGUCAAUAGGAUUUUUAACUCUCUAAUGAGGGGGUUAAAAAUCCUAAUUCUCU